This 460-nucleotide ribosomal RNA is filed under the name uncultured bacterium. RNAcentral describes it as "partial 16S ribosomal RNA". It matches the Rfam family "Bacterial small subunit ribosomal RNA", at positions 338 to 795 of the family's 1533-position model. The record is from RNAcentral.
CCUACGGGGGGCUGCAGUGAGGAAUAUUGGUCAAUGGACGAGAGUCUGAACCAGCCAAGUAGCGUGAAGGAUGACUGCCCUAUGGGUUGUAAACUUCUUUUAUAUGGGAAUAAAAUGUUCCACGUGUGGGAUUUUGUAUGUACCAUAUGAAUAAGGAUCGGCUAACUCCGUGCCAGCAGCCGCGGUAAUACGGCGGAUCCGAGCGUUAUCCGGAUUUAUUGGGUUUAAAGGGAGCGUAGGUGGAUUGUUAAGUCAGUUGUGAAAGUUUGCGGCUCAACCGUAAAAUUGCAGUUGAAACUGGCAGUCUUGAGUAGAGUAGAGGUGGGCGGAAUUCGUGGUGUAGCGGUGAAAUGCUUAGAUAUCACGAAGAACUCCGAUUGCGAAGGCAGUUCACUGGACUGCAACUGACACUGAGGCUCGAAAGUGUGGGUAUCAAACAGGAUUAGAUACCCUGGUAGUC